Molecule: transfer RNA, 72 nt
Filed under: Bos taurus (domestic cattle)
Lineage: Eukaryota; Metazoa; Chordata; Mammalia; Artiodactyla; Bovidae
Also listed under: 1 other name
Rfam family: tRNA
About the family: Transfer RNA (tRNA) molecules are approximately 80 nucleotides in length. Their secondary structure includes four short double-helical elements and three loops (D, anti-codon, and T loops).
Source: Rfam by way of RNAcentral
UCCCAGGUGGCUCUGUGGGUAGAGAGUCUGCCUGCAAUGCAGGAAGCGUAGGUUCAAUCCCUGGGUUGGGAA